Molecule: ribosomal RNA, 373 nt
Filed under: Enterobacter cloacae
Lineage: Bacteria; Pseudomonadati; Pseudomonadota; Gammaproteobacteria; Enterobacterales; Enterobacteriaceae
Description: bacterial SSU rRNA
Rfam family: Bacterial small subunit ribosomal RNA
Source: RNAcentral
CGAUUGGGGAGGUUGUGCCCUUGAGGCGUGGCUUCCGGAGCUAACGCGUUAAAUCGACCGCCUGGGGAGUACGGCCGCAAGGUUAAAACUCAAAUGAAUUGACGGGGGCCCGCACAAGCGGUGGAGCAUGUGGUUUAAUUCGAUGCAACGCGAAGAACCUUACCUGGUCUUGACAUCCACAGAACUUUCCAGAGAUGGAUUGGUGCCUUCGGGAACUGUGAGACAGGUGCUGCAUGGCUGUCGUCAGCUCGUGUUGUGAAAUGUUGGGUUAAGUCCCGCAACGAGCGCAACCCUUAUCCUUUGUUGCCAGCGGUUAGGCCGGGAACUCAAAGGAGACUGCCAGUGAUAAACUGGAGGAAGGUGGGGAUGACGU